Molecule: ribosomal RNA, 492 nt
Filed under: uncultured bacterium
Lineage: Bacteria
Description: partial 16S ribosomal RNA
Rfam family: Bacterial small subunit ribosomal RNA
Source: RNAcentral
AGUGAACGCUGGCGGCGGGCCUAACACAUGCAAGUCGAACGGCCGCACAGUAAGAGCUUGCCCCUACGGGUGGCGAGUGACGGGCGAGUGACGCGUACAUCGCAAUCCUCUUUUUCGUGGGGGAUAACGUAGGGCAACUUACGCUACUACCGCAUACGACCUACGGGUGAAAGCAGGGGAUCUUCGGGCUUUUCGCGACUCUAUGAGCCGAUGUCGGAUUAGCUUGUCGGCUGGGUAAAGGCCCACCUUGGCGACGAUCCGUAGCCGGUCUGAGAGGAUGAUCGGCCACACUGGAACUGAGACACGGUCCAGACUCCUACGGGAGGCAGCAGUGGGGAAUAUUGGACAAUGGGCGAAAGCCUGAUCCAGCCAUGCCGCGUGGGUGAAGAAGGUCUUCGGGUUGUAAAACCCUUUUAUUGGGAAAGAAAAGCAGCAGGUUAAUACCCCGCUGUUCUGACGGUACCCAAAGAGUAAGCACCGGCUAACUUCGUG